Armillaria nabsnona is the source of this 99-nucleotide non-coding RNA. The record is from the annotation of a GenBank genome assembly. NCBI's taxonomy places the organism in Eukaryota, Fungi, Basidiomycota, Agaricomycetes, Agaricales, Physalacriaceae.
GCUAGCAUAGUAUAGUGGUUAGCAUACACACGUUGGCUACAUCAUGUGACAUUAUUGUAAAUCUUUUUAAGGUCCUGGGUUCAAUUCCCAGAGCUGCUA